Molecule: long non-coding RNA, 2960 nt
Organism: Canis lupus familiaris (dog)
Lineage: Eukaryota; Metazoa; Chordata; Mammalia; Carnivora; Canidae
Exons: 4
Source: RefSeq, a predicted model, not a curated record
GGGCGCCGCCCGGUCCCGAGCCGCACCCCCUGCCCGCGAAGGGAGCGGGCGAGGGCCCGGAACCCUAAGCCGCCUUCCUGCCCGGGACCGGCCGCCGCCGCCAGGGGGCAGCCUCCGCCCAGCGAGCCGGUGCGGCAGGUGCUCCAGGCUCGGCGUUUGAAUCCACGGGUCGGUUGGGGAUGCUCGGACUUGGCGCUCCCCGGCCAACGGGCAUGCGGUGACCGUGACCGAUACUAGCUGCCCUAGGCAGGCUCUGCAGCCUGCAGGCACAGGCUUGGCAAGAGAGCCGGGGAAAUCCCGUAAGCUUUGCCGGGGGAGGAGUUUGGAGCUGUAAGUAACCCUCUGCCUGCCCCCUGACUUUCAAGCCUUUCCUUUCCUGCGCCCCCACCCUCCCUGCACCCCGGCCCUGGUCUCCUGACCCCUCCUUUUCAAGGGGCCGGCAGCACUCAAGAAGCAGGAACUGCAUGCCCCCCCACCAUUGUCCUGGACCAUCUACAGUACACGACCGCUCCCCAAACCCACUCUCCAGCUUUCUACCCUGUGUCUGCUGUCCAUUCCUGUCACAGCCUGAAAUCUGCAGAGGAAGCAGCUUCUGGAGGAAAUGAAAAUUUGCAGCAGCUCCUUCUAGGCUGUGAAGCCCCUGGGGAAGGAGGAGAGGGAAUCCCAGCAGGGCAGGUGAAGGCAGAAGCUCUCUUUAUUCUGGGGCCUCCAGAGCCUGCCAGGGGCCCAGCUGGAACGGAAUAUUCAUUCACCGAGCUGGCUGACCAGACUGUCUUAGAAUGAGCAAGAACGGGCAGAGGCUGAAGCACAACAUUGGCUCCUAGUGUCCAGAAAGACAUGCACGGAAAGAACGCCAGAGUUAGCUAAAGAAAUACCACAGUUUAUUGAAGACUACAAAUAUUUUGUUACAAGUUGAAACUACAUGCCUUCCAGAAUCAAAAGCAACAGCAGGUGUGUGCAUUGAUGCUUCGGAGGUGCUGCACCGCUUGAACUCGAAAUGGACGAAUGCCAUCCACCUUCUACCUGAAGUUGUAGCAACUGAGCUCCGAGUCGAGGCUGUUACAGUGGAAUUGCUGCUGAGGCUGAGGCCCAAGCUGCUGCCGCUGUUGAGACUGGAAGAGACACUGACCACUGGGGGAGGCGCAGAAACCGUGCUGGAUGUGGUGGAAAAAGUGCUGGAGGAAGAAUGGAGGUUCGCCUCACUGUCCACGCUUGUGUGCUUAAAAAGGGGGAGCAGUGGAAGACAGGAGGAGGAAACAGUGAUUAGCAAAACAGGUCAGAAGAGAUGCACACUCCCUUCUGUUGGUGAGAGCGUAUCAGCUUUCCAAUUUAAAAAGCUGAGGCAGAGUACAGGGUGCCCUCUGCCAAAGGAAUUAGAAGAAAUUACAAAUUAUCCUCCAGCUACCCAUUCCCCAAGACUCAUCAAGGAGAAUAUUUAUAUUUAAGGAAAAAGACUUUUCAGGAAGCCUCAGCACUAUCUUCCCCUUGGUUUCUGGCAAACCAGACACCUUUGCCCAGAAUGAGUCUUCCUUACCAUCUCAGCCUAAUUCCACAAAUGGUUGUUCCAAAUCACAAUAGCGAAAUUAAUUAUUUGGUCAAAAGCUUUCAUCUGGCCUGCACUUUCAAAGGAUGCUCAGACUCACACAUGACUUUUAGUAGCCAUGUUCAGCAUACUCAGACCAAGGAAUGAGAAUGCUGUAGCAGUGAGAAAGGGGCGUCCCUACAGCAUUUACCAGAGCACACAAAGCCCUACCCACUUCAGUGUUGAGAAGAAUAGCAAAGAAAAAGUCACAUAAAGACUCAAGAGUCACAUCCAGGGUGUGGAGAACUGGCUCACAGCUCUCUAGUAUUUCUUGAUUCUCCUGCCUCCCAACAUCCUUUUAUUCCAUUCCCGCAACCUGAGAUCAAUGAUCAUUUUGCCACCUCGUGAAGAGAUUUCCAAGAAUCAUUUCUUCAGAAGUCUUAGAAUUGGAGAGUUCUAAGUGCAAGAAAACCACAUGUUCUCUUUUGCAGCAUCACACUUACCAAAAGAGUGGAUGUAGAAGUGCGCCCCGAAGAUGUGGAUGACGAAAGGGUAUUCUGCUGUGUGGAUAAUGUGCUGCAAAGAAGAGGUUGCCAUCAGCCACAGUGCUAUGAUUAUUUGACUGGGAGCUUCUGUCAGGAACACAGACGAGGAGAUAAGGCAGAAUAAGGGACCAAAGAAGCCUGAGAUCGUGGGUAGCACUGUGGCCAGCCAAAGGUGGGCAGCAGACAGAACGAGAGUGGCUGCUGAGAAAGGAGGACAGGCCUCCUCUGCUUCUGCUUCCCACAGCUUUCAAGUCGUCCACCUCACUAAUGUGGCCCCCACCAGGCAGCAAGGGCAGGACCGAGGCAGGGAGCCAAUACCACCCUUCCCAACCCCAGCGUCCAGCCGUAACCCAAAUCACCUGCUGUGUUGUGUGGUGGUAGUAUUUGGACUCUCCUCACCGUGGCUCAAGCCACCCAACGAUGAUGAAUGUUGACCGGCUGUUGUCAGUAAGGAAGCUGCAGACACGGUUUCACUGAGAGGGGGGAUGCCAGGAGCAGAAGAUGACACCCAUCUCAAAAAUUCAAAUACCUUUGAAGUCAAGGAGGCCUUUUUCUUCUGCUGUUUCAAUUUUUGCUGAGCCGGCUGUGGACUGGAGGACUGGUUGUCUGAAGACCCGGGAGACAUCUGUGGGGCCGAGGUGGAUUUGCUUGGCAGAGGAGAAGAGGGGGGUGGAGGUGCAGCUGUGGAGGUAGCCACUGCGGAUGGCUUCUCCUGAAGGAACACCUCCAUCAUGGUUGAAGAUGGGGUGAAAGCCUGGCGUUUGGUGAAGGGGCUGUGCACUGUUGAAUCAUUUGGGUUCUUCAAAUCUGCAUGAAGAAACCCAGUAUGUGUAAGGCCAGAGAUGCUAAUAAACCUCAAUAAAAUGCUAUUAUCCUGCUCUAGAGCUACAAAA